RNAcentral lists this long non-coding RNA (16200 nucleotides) under Gossypium barbadense (sea-island cotton). RNAcentral's name for it is "long non-coding RNA (GBAR_LNC008808)". The record is from RNAcentral. Lineage: Eukaryota; Viridiplantae; Streptophyta; Magnoliopsida; Malvales; Malvaceae.
GAACGAAUACACAAUAGGCAAUACAAAAAAAGCAAUAUUGGAAGGUGAUUUCUCCGAUCGAAAUCUCUGGGCUUUCUCUUUGUGAUUAUUUUCUUUUUUUUUUAUUUCGAGAGUAAAUAAAAGAAAAGGGGAACACGAACACAGACGCACACAGAAUAUACACGCACAGAAAUAUAAAAAAAAACAAUUAAGAAUUUGCAAGGGUAAUCUCAAGUUUUCUUUCGUUCUUUCUUUUUUUUUUCUUUUUUGUUUGGUUUAGAUCGUCUUUUAGUAGGUAAAUCGACUCCAAUGAGAUCCCGAAUACUUUAAGAUACAAAAGUAGGGGAGAGGAGUCAAGUGGUGUUGAAUCUCUAUUUUAUGAACUUUCUUCGUUUUUUUUUAAAAUGUAUGAGAUUUGAAGUUUUAUUUUUUCUCAAGUAAAAAAGAAAAUACUUACUAAUUUCCUCAAGGCAUGGUCGAAUACUUACGGCCACAGAACCAGGAAUUGUUUUGCGCGCUGCUGGACACCAAAUCCGAUGGAGAUUCAGCUGCUUGUAAAAGGAACCCUAGCAAAUUUAUUUUCAAGGCUGCUGGUUUUUGUUAAAAUGGAUGGGUAUUUGAAAGGAAAGGAAGGGAAAAAUGGUUUAAAAUGGUCUGAAAUACAAAACAGUGCUGCCCAUGACCAUAAGGGUCCGCGCGUAGGCCCGAAUAGAAAAAUGGAUCUGCGCCAUGUUGUGUGAAUGGGGAAAUUGCGCGCUGAAUCCUUCCCUUGCGCACAACCUUCAAUUUGCGCCCCAAUUUCCCCCCCAACCAAUAAACGACGCCGUUUCAAGGGUGGGUCGGGUCGACCCGACCCGCCCCAGCAAGGAUCCGCGUGUUUUUAAGAGCGGAAGGGCUAUUUGCGCAAUCAGCCCUUCCGCAUUUUUGGUGUUUUAAAUUAGGUUUAUGUUUGUUUCUGAAUUGACCCCAGAAUUUUGCUCAGUUUUUAAUUUAACCCCCGUAUAUGCGCAGCGUUUUGGAAAGUUUGAAAAUUUGCACUUUUAAUACCCCAUGGUUUUACCCGCAUUCAAAUAGGUCCUUUCCCCUUUAAUUUUUUUAAAUUCGCCCCAAAGCUUUGUUUUUAGUUCAUUUUUGGUCCUUUUUGUUUCCUUAUUUAAUAUGAUUAUUGUUAUUUCCAAUAUUAUAGUAUUAUUAUUAUUACUAUAUAUUAGUAUACAUUUUUCUUUUACAUGUGAAUAUUGUAUAUAUUUAUAUAUAAUAUUAUUUUUAAUUAUUGUAUUUUAAUAUUAUUAUUAUAUUAUAUAUACUUCUUCGUAUUUUAUUAUUAUUAUUAGUAUUAUUAUCUUUAUUCAUAUUAGCAGACAUAUGUUAUUAUAUAUAUACACAUUUCAUAUAGUAUUAUCUUUUUUUUACUAUUAUAUUUAUUAUUAUAUUCAUUGUUAAUACAUCUAUUUUUUAUACAUGUAUAUAUACCCUUUUUGUAAUAUUAUUUUUUACACCUAUAUGUAUAUAUUUUAUUUUAUUGUUGCUAGUUAUGUACUUUUUUACUAUCUUAUACGUACUUCAAACACUAUACGUAUAGUAUAUUUCUAACACUACUACUAUUUAUAUAAAUAUUUUACGUAUAUACUCUUAAUUAUCUUCAUAUGUGUAUUCAUUGUAUUCUUAUUACGUUCUCGUAUUCAAUGCUAACAUUGCAUUUGAUCUUGCAUGCACGGUUAUUAUUUUCUAAUAUUAUUGUCACCUCGAUUAUUUGUUUCAACAUAUUCCUAGCUCUUUCAUUUAUUGAUUUUUAUUUCAUAUUAUUUUACUUUGCAUUAUUUCGAAAAUCGUAUUCUUGUUUUGCUAAUUAAUUUCAAUAAUCAAGGCAAUAUAUCGAUUUAACAUUAAGUCAUCAAGUUCAUCACUAUGUUGGGUGAACGUCAAUUGACUCGUGUUAAAGCGAUAUACCCUUCUAAAAGAAAAAACGGAAUAAACUAAGUUUCUUGUUUUUUAAUCAGAUCACGACUAAAUUUUACAUUGAACCGUAUUUUUGAAAAUUAAGACAACAUGUGUUUAUGAGAUACCAAUUUUUGGGCGUCACGAGGGUGCUAAUACCUUCCUUGCGCGUAACCGACUCCCGAACCCUAAUUUUCCUCUGGCUUUUAACGUAGACCUAAAUUCAGCCUUCCUUUUGUUUUUUUUAAAAAAGAAGUCUAACAGGUGUCCGGUCACACCUAAUAAAAAGGAUCGGUGGUGAUUCCCUCUUUAUUUUGAAAUCGAAUUUCAGUUUCCAAACUUUUUCACUAGAUCGCCACAAUUAGCGACCCCGGAACCAAUUUUUAUGUCGCUACAGCUGGCGACUCCACUGGGGACUUUUGAGAGUUGAGUCUGAUGUUAAACGCGUAUUGUCAAAUUUUUAAAAUCCUUUGUUCAAAUUAAUUUUUAAUCGUGAUCCUUGAAUUUUUUUUUUUGAAAAGUCAUGCAUUUGCAUUUGGUUUUUUUUAAUUAAUAGUUUUCUAACUUAUUUUGUCUUUCUGUUUUUUUUAGCUUUAAGUUUUACAUUUUUUUAGUUGUUUUAGUAAAAAUAAAAUUUAAAAAGGUUUGUGAGUUUCUCCCUACACACCGUGCACUUGCAUUCUUGCAUAACAUGAGCUCUCUACCCGGGCUCCAUCCGUUUAAGUGGAAGUAAACGCUACGCCUUCGUGAGUUAACUCGUCCCUCCGCACAGGCUAGUGAAAUACUUUCGGGUUACAUAUGACUUAUGUUUUCGUGAGUUAACUCGUCCCUCCGCAUAGGCAUAAGUAAAUGUAAUCCCUCGAAUUGAUCUCGUAAGCCUAUGAUGGGCCAUGACCGAGGCUCUGUACUAAUCUUGGUAGAUGACAGUGCAGACGAUUCGAGUACCCAUCUAGAACCAAAACCGCAUAUAGUGAACCAUGUGAGCCAUCCAAAUAGAGCCAUGCUGAACCUCUGUCCGCUUAUAGUCAUCAAAAUAAGUACACGGGGAAAAUACCUUUUGCCAUCCAGUUACACUGUUUGUGCAAAAUAAUUGGAUUGGGUAGUUUAAUUUGUUUUUCAAAUUAUAUUUGUUGUGUUUACUAACCAAGUUUGUUUGUUUUCACUUUUAUUUUCAUCAUGCAUCAUAGGCAUCAUAUUAAGAAGGUGUUGACUAAAGGUUGGUUGCCAAAAAAUGGGUUUCUGAUGGAGGAGUCAAUUACACAAAUAACCGAGAAGAGUGCCGUGGUUCGGGACUGGUCUCUAAAAAUUCAGAAAGAAAAGGGGGAUAGUCUAGUGGAAGGGUGUGUCGCCAAUUUGCCCGAACAUAUAACUGUAAAUGUUCGCCAAAAUAACCUUGAGGAUUUGGUUCGAAUUUGGAAUCAGUACACUAGAGACAUUUUCACUGAGAGGUAUGGAGAUAUAGCUCACCUGAUCACCAUCCGUGUAGACGAACAGUUGAUUCAAGCCAUGGUUCGGUUCUGGGACCCAGCUUAUCAGUGUUUCACCUUCAAUCAAGAAGACAUGACUCCAACCAUAGAAGAGUAUGCUGCUUUACUCCGCAUCGACAAUGUACAAUUCGGCAAAAUAUAUGUGAAGGAGCCUAAGCCGAUGACCUUCAAGAAAAAGUUAGUGAGACUAACAGACAUGACUGAUGCAUGGGCCGAAAAACAGAUAAAGAAGAAGAAUGAAACCAUUUGCAUUCCAUGGUCCUCCCUACGAGAUUUGGCUCUAAACUAUCCCAACAUGCUGAAAAGGGUAAAUCUAUUCGCUUUGGCCUUUUACGGUUUGGUCAUUUUCCCAAAAGUUCUCAGACAUCUCGAAGUUGCAGUAGUUGAUUUCUUCGAAAGGUUAAAACAAGGAAUCAACCCUGUUCCGACCAUCCUAGCCGAGAUCUUCAGGUCCCUGAGUAGUUGUCGAAGAAAAGGGGAGGGACGAUUUAUCGGAUGCGCGCAGUUGCUCAAUGUUUGGAUUUUGAGUCACUUCUGGAAGGUAGAGCGCACUCCGUUCCAUAUGUUUUCUAAAACAUUGUCCCCUCUAGAAGCUUACCUCAAGAAAGAAUGGCCGAAGGAAGUCACCAAGCAACAUUGGGUAUCAGUUUUUCAGAAUCUUCGCGCCGAGAAUAUAACAUAGAGAGCACCCUGGAUCCGUCCUUCAGUUCUGCUAUACAAAUGUGGAAGCCAAGAUUGGGUACCUUUACUCGGGUUAUGGGGAGGAGUUGGAUAUGCCCCGCUAUUAGUCCAAAGGCAGUUUUCUUCGCGACAAUUCCUCCCCGCAACUGGAGGAUUAGCACAGUUCGAGUUCACUUUCGCGGGUGAAGGAUAUAUGAAGAGAGUCCGAGUCACUGCAAAGUAUUGGAAGGAAAUUCAUUUCAUGGAAUUAGCUUUGUAUGCUGAUACCCUUACCCAAGAUUAUGACAUAUGGAGGAAGCAACGGGUAAAUAGUCAGCAAAUCUCAUCAACAAACUACACCAUCCAAAAUCCUUUCUCGGAGGAAACGCCGUCUGAGCUAGAAAUGACAAGACAAGAAUUCGAACGAGAAAAGGCCAAGAUGUCUCGGGACCUUAAUGCCCUUCAAGAAGAAAACUAUCAACUGAAGAUUGAAGUUCAGGUUGAAAGGUCCAGGACUGAAAAAGUACAAAGAGAAGCCGAGAUUGUGAGAAACGACUUAAGGGACCUUCAUUUGGAAAACAAGAAAUUAAGAAACACUAUAAAGAAUAGCGGGUUAGGCAAGUCGAUAGCAGAAUGGAAGGAAGAAAUUAGCAAUAUUAAGGGAGGAAUGGAGUUUUGGAAGGGAAAAGCAAAGAAAGAGGAGGAAAAGGCUGCGCGUGCUAUGAUAGAGUUAAGAAGGAAGAACGCCGAGUAUGAAAUAGUGGCUGCAAAAUUGGCGAAUAGUCAGUCUGAACAUCAAGAAUUAAAAAGGAAAACACGAGAUCUAGAAAAUAUGCUGCAAUCUCGUCAACAACAAUUAGAUAACCUCUUGAAGGCUCUAGAAGAAAAGAGUGAGCAGUACGAUAAGGACAUUCACGCGUAUGAAGGAACCCUCAAAGAAAAAGAAAUGCAACUUGACUUCUUGAUCAAUGAAAUUCGUAAAGCGGCUAUGCAAGUUGUUCAAUUAUCAGAUAAAGCCAAAGUUCUCAGUUGCCAAUUCCCCCCGAGCCAAAGAUCGAGCAUAUCAGAGUUUUUAGAGCAAGUGAAGAAACAAGGCAAUGUGGCUAGGAAAUUUGUGUAACUGUUGGAAAAAUGAGAACUUUGUGUAAUAGACUAUGUUGAUAAAUGAAAUACCUAAAUAUGGGGCUAUCUUGAAAUCAACACCAAUUUCUUGCAUUUCAUUCAUAAUUGACACUCAUUUGACAUUCAUGCAUUCAUUCAUGCAUCAGUUCAUUCAUUGCAUAUCCCAUACUCGUUCGCUGAGGUUAAAACGUACAAUUUGCAGUUGCCAGACUUCAAGACUGGAACCACGUCAUCCGUAUAAAACGCGCCGACAAGCUAGAGUAAUGGAAGCUGAAUUCAAUGAGAGAAUUGAAAGGAUGGAAAAGCUCAAAAGGAAUUACAAGAGCAACUGGCCAAAUCGCAACAAGAGACGAGAGACCUAAUGGUGAUAUCUCGAGAGGAAUCAUUCGAGCAAAGAGAUCAGAUGGCUAAAAUGAUGGAGAUGAUGACAACUUUGGUCAAAGGAAAAUGGCCCAUGCAGAACCCUGAUGUUAUGGAACCUCGGUCAAAAAUUCACCAUGAUCAGGAUCCACUCUAUCCCCCAAGAUUCACUCCACCGCCCGCAUAUACAAUACAAAGAGGGUAUACUCAAGAGGAACCCACUGGCUUGGAGCAUCGACCCAUGCCACCUGCUCCACCCACUAAUUUGGGGCAAGGAAUGUUAGCGUCGAACCCAGGGGCUAGUUUUGCUAAUCCACUAGUUCCAGAUCUAGAUGACCCAGCAGAGGUAGCCAAGUUGAAAUUGGAUAACCAUGACGCAAAAUAUAGGAGUCUAGAGGAAAGACUCAAAGUAAUAGAAGGCACUGAAGUCUUCUCCGCACUAGGUGCCAAGGAACUCAGUUUGGUACCUGAUCUAAUUUUGCCCCCGAAGUUCAAAGUGCCUGAUUUUGAGAAGUAUGAUGGAACAAGGUGCCCAAAAGCACAUCUCAUUAUGUUCUGUCGAAAAAUGACCGGUUAUGUGAAUGAGGAUAAACUACUCAUACAUUGCUUUCAAGAUAGUCUAACAGGGUCAGCUCUUCGGUGGUACAAUAAACUUAGUAGAGAAAAGAUUCGAUCCUGGAAGGACUUGGCGUUAGCAUUUUGCGAACAGUACAAGCAUGUAUCGGAUAUGGUGCCAGACCGUAUGACCUUGCAAAUGAUGGAGAAAAAGCCAUCAGAGACCUUUAGACAGUAUGCGCAGAGAUGGAGAGACGUCUCAGCUCAAGUGGAACCCCCACUAACAAAAACAAAGAUAACCGUUCUUUUUAUCAAUACUUUAAAGGCACCGUUUUAUGACAAACUAGUGGGAAGUGCCACGAAAGAUUUCGCGGAUAUUGUAAUAUCCGGUGAACUCAUAGAGAAUGCCGUCAAGAGCGGUAGAAUGGAAGGAUCAGAAGGCUCAAGAAAAGCAGCACCCUUAAGGAAGAAAGAGCCAGAAGCCCACAUGGUGGGAACUGGGAGUCGUUACAUUCCCAAUUCGUAUCGUAACCAACCCCGACCUCGAAAUUAUCCACCCCCGAAUUCCUAUUAUCCCCUACAAACCCCUUACUACCAAGCACCACAUCCGUCCUGCCCCGUAUACGCCACGAACAACCAAAGACCCGUCACUACUUUCCCACAAAACACGGUACCCGCCCAAAGCCAAUCAAGGCAUAAUCCCGAGAGACCGCAAUUUACCUCCAUCCCUGUGUCGUAUGGGGAAUUGUACCCAAAACUUUUAGAAAAACAGCUAAUUUCUCCCCAUUACAUGGCACCCCUUAAACCUCCAUACCCAAAGUGGUACGAUCCAAACGCUAGUUGUGCAUACCACGCAGGGAAUCAAGGGCACUCUACUGAGAACUGUCUCGCUUUCAAAAGGAGAGUUCAAGGACUCAUUGACGCGGGUAUCCUACGAUUCGAUAGUGCUAGUAACGCCACGGGGAACCUGUUCCCUAACCAUACCAAAAGGAAUGUGAGCACAGUGGGGAAAGAGGAUGAAUGGAAGGUCAGAAGAUGUGUGGCAGAAAUAAGGACGCCUCUGCAGAAAAUCUGGGAGAUAUUGGUUAAGAAAGGAUUGCUCUGUCACUCUGAUAGAGUUUUUGGAGAAGAAGGUCAAAGUUUUUGCAAUUUUCAUGGGAUUGUUGGGCACGACAUUCAGUCAUGCGAGGACUUUAAAAGGUUACUUCAAGACCAGAUGGAUAAUAAGGAGAUCAAGGUCCUUAACAAGAGUCAAGAUGCCAACGAAAGAGAAGUAUGCGUCUCUGAUAGCCAAUCAUCAGGGCCCCCUUAUAGUGCUGAUCGACCGUUGGUAAUUUAUUACGACGCGAUGAGAGAGCCAUUGAAACCACAGAUGGUAAUUGAAGUACCAUCUCCUUUCCCGUAUAAGGACAACAAAAUAGUACCGUGGAAAUAUGAUGUUAAUAUCGUUACACCGGAAGUUGAAAAGUCUAAAGCCAUAACUGAAGAUGUUGGGGAGGUAGGUCAUUUUACUCGAAGUGGACGAUGCUAUUCUAAAGAAGUUGAACCGGUAAAGAAAAGUAGUGACUCGAAGCAAAAAGGGAAAGCAGUGAUGUACGAGGUCGAAGUCGAGCAAGAAAUUCCACUCGUGCAAGAAACUAAAAAGCCUGUGAAUGAGGAAGAAGCUCAAGAAUUCUUGAAAUUUAUUAAGCACAACGAAUAUAGUGUGGUGGAACAAUUGAGCAAGCAGCCAGCACGAAUCUCAGUUCUAUCUCUACUAUUAAAUUCAGAGCCACACCGGAACGCUAUAUUGAAGGUGUUAAAUCAAGCUUAUGUGGCCAACAACACAUCUGUCGAAAAGCUUGAUAGGUGGGUAAACAAUCUGAAUGCGGACAACUUCAUCUCUUUUAGUGAUGAUGAGAUACCGCCAAAUGGUAGAGGCUCGGUGAAAGUGCUGCAUAUCACAACCCGCUGCAAGGGCUACAUAAUACCGAACGUACUCAUCGAUAAUGGGUCAGCGAUAAAUGUUAUGCCAUUGGCUACACUUCCAGAAUACCGAUGGAUUUGUCCUACUUAAAGCCCUGUCAUUCCAUGGUAAGAGCAUUCGACGGGACGAAGCGCGAAGUCAUGGGAAAGAUCGAAAUCCCUUUGGAAGUUGGCCCCUACAUCUAUGCGGUCGAAUUCCAAGUCAUGGACAUUACACCCUCUUAUAACUGUCUUUUGGGAAGACCUUGGAUUCAUUCUGCUGGAGCAGUCCCAUCAUCCCUCCAUCAAAAGGUGAAAUUCAUCAUGGAUGGCUGUUUGGUCACAGUCGAGGGCGAAGAAGACAUCGUCGCAUCUAUCUCUGCUGAUGCGCCAUACCUGGAAGUAAGCAAGGACGCAGUGGAAUGUUCCUUUCGAUCCCUUGAAUUCAUCAAUGACACUUUCGUCGCUGAGGGAAAUAGAAUUCCGAUGCCAAAACUGUCGAGAAAUACCAGAAUGGGUGUCAAGUUGACCGUAGGAAGGGGAGCUCGUGCGAGAAGAGGUUUAGGGAGACAUCUGCAAGGAAUAGUGAGGGCUUUAAAGCUAGUGCACCACAAGGCUCGAUACGGUUUGGGGUUCCAGCCUGACAUGCACCAAAGAAGAAGACAGUGGAAGAAGGAUCAAGAGAGAAGAAUUACAAGAACUUUAGGCCGAGAACCAGAAUGGGAACCAAUAGAGUACCCUCCUUUGUCAAAAACAUUUAUAUCUGCGGGAAUGAUGUACCCUAGACAAGAUGAUCCACGAAACAUGCUGGGAUUAAUUGAAAGGGAUUUUCAGAAUGUCAGUAUAAAUGUCAUUGACAAAGAAGCUAGUGCAAGUAAAGAUGUAUCGAGGAUACGCCUUUGCCCUCCUGGUUUCAUGUUGAACAAUUGGAUUGCUGAGGAGCUUCUUGUAGUUUAUAAGCCUUCAGAGUAAUGCUAAACAUCAACCUUCUAUUGUGUCCUUAGAUAUAAUAGAAUUCUUUUGUAAGAGUUUGCAUUCACUCUUUAUCAUUUAAAUGAAUAUCAAUGAAGAUGCAUUUUGUCACGAUUUUUCGUAUUAUCACUAAUCUCAUAAUCAUUUUCUCAUUUCAUAGCCUAUCCUUACAUUUGCCUCCUUGCCAUGACAUAACAUUUGUUUGUUGUUUCCAAUACUUGGAUGUCCCCCUAUAGCUUCCUUUUCCAUUCAACUUUCAGGUGCUCAGAUAUUGACGACAUGAAUAAGCCCGUUACGAAUCUUGAAAUUGAUUUUGAGAAGGCUGUUUGCUUAGGAGAAUUUGAAGCCGAAGAAAAUGCUGAAGAUUAUGUCUCGUCUCCUGAAUUGUUAAGAAUGGUGGAACAAGAGGAUAAACAGGUUUUGCCUCAUGAAGAAUCUGUGGAAACAAUAAAUUUGGGCACUGAAGAGAGGAAACAAGAAGUGAAGAUUGGGACUUCUAUUUCAGAAAGUACCAGGCAUAGUUUGAUCACUUUACUCCGCGAAUACAAAGAUGUUUUCGCGUGGUCAUACCAGGACAUGCCAGGGCUAGAUGAAGAUUUAGUGGUCCAUAAGCUCCCAUUGAAGCCAGAAUACAAGCCCAUCCAGCAAAAAUUAAGACGGAUGAGACCCGAAAUGCUGUUGAAAAUAAAAGAGGAAGUCAAGAAGCAAUUUGAUGCUGGCUUCCUACAAGCCUCCAAAUAUCCAGAAUGGGUGGCUAACAUAGUCCCGGUACCAAAGAAAGAUGGAAAAGUACGAAUGUGCGUGGAUUACCGUGACCUGAAUCGAGCACGCCCAAAAGAUAAUUUUCCCUUGCCACAUAUUGACACGUUGGUGGACAACACAGCAAAACAUUCAUUGUUUUCUUUUAUGGAUGGAUUCUCGGGGUAUAAUUAGAUCAAGAUGGCCCUUGAGGAUAUAGAGAAAACUACCUUCAUAACAAUGUGGGGAACGUUCUGCUAUAAGGUGAUGCCAUUCGGGUUAAAGAAUGCUGGGGCAACAUAUCAGAGGGCUAUGGUGACAAUAUUCCAUGACAUGAUGCAUAAGGAAAUAGAGGUCUACGUCGAUGAUAUGAUUGCUAAAUCUCGAGGAGAAGAAGAACAUGUAAUGAACCUCAAGAAGUUGUUCGAAAGGAUUAGAAAGUUUCAGCUGAAGCUUAAUCCAGCCAAAUGUAUAUUCGGGGCUACCUCGGGAAAAUUGCUAGGCUUCAUUGUCAGUGAAAGAGGUAUCGAAGUUGAUCCAGAUAAAAUAAAAGCCAUCCAAGAAUUACCACCUCCGCGCACGCAAAAGGAAGUUAGAGGAUUUUUAGGGAGAUUAAAUUACAUCGCCCGAUUUAUCGCUCAACUUACCAACCAAUGCGACCCAAUUUUUCGACUCCUUCGAAAACAUAACCCGGGAGAAUGGAAUGAGGAGUGCCAAGUGGCCUUCGAUAAGAUAAAACGGUAUCUGUCUAAUCCUCCUGUGCUAGUACCACCGACCCCUGGAAAACCCUUAAUUUUGUACCUGACCGUGUUUGAAAACUCAAUGGGUUGCGUGCUGGGGCAACAUGAUGAGUCAGGGAGAAAAGAAAAGGCGAUCUACUACCUCAGCAAAAAGUUCACUGAAUAUGAGGCAAAAUAUUCGUCCAUUAAGAAAUAUUGUUGCGCUCUGGUUUGGGUAGCUCGGAGACUCAGACAAUAUAUGUUGUAUCACACGACAUGGCUAAUUUCAAAGCUGGACCCAAUAAAAUACAUGAUGGAAUCGCCGGCACUAUCAGGAAGAAUGGCACGAUGGCAGAUCCUCCUUUCGGAAUAUGACAUUGCCUAUGUAAGUCAGAAGUCAAUAAAAGGGAGCGCAGUAGCUGACUUCUUAGCAACUCGAACGACAGAGGAAUAUGAGCCUUUAAGAUUCGAUUUCCCAGACGAAGACUUAAUGUGCAUCAUAGAAAUAGAAUCCGAGUCAUCAAAAGAGAAGUCAUGGAAGAUGUGCUUUGAUGGUGCGUCAAAUGCUUUAGGGCAUGGAAUUGGAGCAAUCCUGGUAUCACCAGACGGGAAUCAUUAUCCGUUCACUGCAAGACUGAACUUCUUCUGUACCAAUAAUAUCGCAGAAUAUGAGGCCUGUAUCAUGGGACUUCGUGCAGCUAUCGAACGAAACAUCGAGAUCUUGGAGGUGUACGGGGACUCAGCCCUAGUGAUUUACCAAAUCCGUGGAGAAUGGGAAGUGAGGGACUCAAAAUUGAUUAAGUACAGUGAUUUAGUGGCUUGAUUGAUCAAGGAAUUCAAAGAAAUAACUUUUCAUUACUUCCCACGAGAAGAGAACCAACUGGCUGAUGCCCUAGCCACUUUGGCUUCAAUGUUCAAAGCAAGUAGAGAAGCAGAAAUAAUGCCCCUCAAAAUGAGCAUAUACGAGGUCCCUGCACACUGUUGUAGCAUUGAGAAAGAAGUAGACGGACGGCCUUGGUUCCAUGAUAUCUUAGAAUAUAUCAAGAAUCAAAGGUAUCCCGAACAAGCGAAUGAGAACGAUAAAAGAACAAUUAGAAGAAUGGCAGCGGGAUUUGUUCUUGAUGGGGAUAUCCUGUAUAAAAGAGGAAAUGAUCAGAUGCUUUUGAGAUGUGUGGAUGAUGUUGAAACCAGAAAAAUACUUGAAGAGGUCCAUGAGGGAAUUUGCGGAACGCAUGCCAAUGGUUUCAAUAUGGCCAGAAAGAUCAUGAGACUCGGUUAUUAUUGGCUGACAAUGGAAAGUGACUGCAUCAAUUUUGCCAGAAAAUGCCACAAAUGUCAAAUCUACGGCGAUAAAAUUCAUGUAGCCCCUUCACCCCUUCAUGUCAUGACUUCUCCGUGGCCUUUUUCUAUGUGGGGCAUGGAUGUCAUAGGGCCAAUUUCUCCAAAAGCUUCAAAUGGACAUCGAUUCAUUUUUGUAGUUAUUGAUUACUUCACAAAAUGGAUUGAAGCCGCUUCGUUUGCCAAUGUGACGAAGACUGCAGUGUGCAAGUUUUUGAAAAAAGAAAUCAUUUGCCGAUAUGGUUUCCCUGAAAGAAUCAUCUCAGAUAAUGCCACGAAUCUGAACAAUAAGAUGAUGAAAGAAGUGUGCGAGCAGUUCCAAAUAAAGCAUCAUAAUUCCUCGCCCUAUCGCCCAAAGAUGAACGGGGCUGUUGAAGCAGCUAACAAGAACAUUAAGAGGAUCAUUGGGAAAAUGACUGAGACAUAUAAAGAUUGGCACGAGAAACUUCCAUUUGCUUUGUUUGCAUAUCGUACAUCUGUGCGAACAUCUACGGGAGCAACUCCUUUCUCUCUAGUCUAUGGAAUGGAAGCUGUGCUACCUAUCGAGGUUGAGAUCCCCUCUCUGCGAGUAUUGAUGGAAUCAAAGUUUGAAGAAGCAGAAUGGGUUCGAGCUCGAUAUGAUCAGUUGAACCUCAUUGAAGAAAAACGUCUAAGGGCAAUUUGUCAUGGGCAAAUGUACCAAAAAAGAAUGAUCGCAGCCCAUGACAAGAAGGUACGACCAAGAGAGUUCCAUGAAGGAGAACUCGUUCUGAGAAAGAUUCUCCCAAUACAAAAAGACCUGCGAGGAAAAUGGGCACCAAAUUGGGAAGGACCAUACGUUGUAAAAAAGGCAUUCUCGGGAGGAGCUUUAAUCCUUACCGAGAUGGACGGAAAGGAGUUACCGAAUCCGGUGAAUUCAGAUGCGGUGAAGAAAUAUUAUGCUUAAGAUGAAAACCCGAAAAUGGCAUCUAAAAAAAAAGGGCGAAAACCCGAAAAGGGCGUCUUGAUUAGUACAAAAAGAUUAGGAUGAAAACCCGAGAGGGCGUCCUAAUGAAACAAACCUGGCGGUCGAACGAUAGGUCGAGUAGUGAGACUACAGUAUUUGAAGCACUUCUGAAAGCUCAAAAUUUUCUAUGCAAGAAGCCAUGCUCGAAAAGAUUAUUGAUUGAGGAACGUGGAAGAGUUCAUGUGUUGAAUAUCUAGAGCAUUUGUAUCCGUUGAAUACGACCUUUUCUUUCUUUUUGACAUUUUUACUCUCAUUGGUUAACUUUCUUUGUUUGCCGCAUUUGAAAUAAAGGAAUAUGAGAUAUCCUUUUUGUCCCUACCUGACCAUUUUCAUGCAUCUCAUUAUGUGUUUAUUUAAUGAUAAAUAGUGAAAUGACAUACUCUAAACAAAAGAAAUGUCAAGCAUUACCCGGAUAAGAAUUUGAUAAGUGCAAGAUCUUCAAAGCAAGAACAAAGUUUAACCAAGGGCAAAAGGGUGAUAUCUGAGAAACGUUGAUUACUCGUAAAGCUCGAAGACAGGUAUGAGGCCUGAAGAGAAGGUCGAGAAUCAAAACAAUGAACACAGAUCCUCAACAAUCAUGGCGAAAAGGACAUACGACCUAUAUGCUUAAGGAGCACUGCAUAAUCAUGUAGGCAUAAAGGCAUUUAAGACAAACAUGUGCAUAUCAUGAUAACAUCAUGCAUAGCAUAUACAGGUAAUCCAGAAAAGCCAGAAAUCUUGAAUGAGAGUCGCACUGAAUCAAAGGAAAAGAUACCCGAGUUCUACCAAAGGACUGGUUUUGGUAUUUUGAUGUUUUUAAUUCAUGCUUUCCAAGGAAAAUUGACUCAUAUUGCGAGAGGUGAGUCAAGCCUCAGGUCACGCUGAGGUAUUUUAAUUCCUUUUGUUUCAAAAAUCAACUCAUAUUGCUAGAGGUGAGUUGAGCCUCGGGGCACGCCGAGGUACUUUUAGUUUAUGUUUUAAAUUGACUCAUAUUGCGAGAAGUGAGUUAAGCCUUUUAAUUCCUGUUUUUCAAAAAAUCAACUCAUAUUGCGAGAGGUGAGUUGAACCUUUUAAUUUCUGUUUUUCAAAAAUCAACUCAUAAUACAGAGGUGAGUUGAGCCUCGGGCCACAUGCCGAGGUAUUUUCAAAAUCUGUUUGGCAAAUUCUGUGUUCAAAAAUCAACUCAUAAUACAGAGGUGAGUUGAGCCUCGGGUCAUGCCGAGGUAUUUCUUUUAAAUUUUUGUUUUCAAAAAAUCAACUCAUAUUGCGAGAGGUGAGUUGAGCCUCAGGACACGCUGAGGUAAUUUCAAUUUUUUUUUUCCAAAUUUCAACUCAUGUUGCGAGAAAUGGGUUGAGCCUCAGGACACGCUGAGGUAAUUUCAAUUUUUGUUUUUCAAAAUCAACUCAUAUUGCGAGAGGUGAGUUGAGCCUCAGGACACGCUGAGGUAAUUUUAAUUUAUGUUUUUCAAAAAUCAACUCAUAUUGCGAGAGGUGAGUUGAGCCUCGGGGCACGCCGAGGUAUUUUCAAAUUCUACUUUCAAAAAAUCAACUCAUAUUGCGAGAGGUGGGUUGAACCUUUUAAUUUCUACUUUUUCAAGAUCAGCUCAUAUUUCUAGAGGUGAGUUGAGCCUCGGGGCACGCUGAGGUAUUUUCAAUUUUUUGUGUGUUUUAAUUUCAACUCAUAUUGCGAGAGGUGAGUUGAGCCUUGGGUCACAUGCCGAGGUAUUUUCAAAAUCUGUUUGGCAAAUUCUGUGUUCAAAAAUCAACUCAUAUUGCGAGAGGUGGGUUGAACCUUUUAAUUUCUACUUUUUUGAAAUCAACUUAUAUUGCGAGAGGUGAGUUGAGCCUCAGAACACGCUGAGGUAAUUUCAAUUUCUGUUGUCAAAAAAAAAAUCAACUCAUAUUGCGAAAAGUGAGUUGAGCCUUUGCCACAUGCGGAGAUAUUUUCAGUUUUUGUUUUUAAUGUCUGUUUUUAAAGAGUCAAUUCAUAUUGCGAGAAAUGAGUCGAACUCAGGAUCACAUGCCGAGUAAGAAUAAAGAUUGAAGCUGAUGAAAAACACCAGAGUUGGUCUCCCUGAAGCUGCAGUGGAGCCUGUCAAAAGUUACAAGUCUUGUCUCCCUGAGGUCGCAGUAGAACUGAUCGAGGAUAUCAAAUCUUGUCUCGCUAGAGUUACAAAAGAGAAGAUCACGAAUCUCAUCUCACUGAAGUGAUAAAAGAACAGAUUGAAGCUUAGAUCUUAUCUUUAUGAAGCUACGUGGAAGCAGAUCAAAGCCACAAAUCACAUAUCUUUGAAGUCACAUUGGAGUAGAUUUAAACUACAAGGCAUAUAUCAGAAGAUGCAGUGGAUUGGAAGAAGACCAUCUGAACAAGAAGAGCACCAAUGAAGUCAAGACUCGGCAGGACAGGGCAAAAUUGGCCUUUCACUUAGUCUUUGCUCUAUUCCCGUUACACGACAAUGAGCAAAGAGGGGCAGCUGUACUAGGCCAAUUUCGGCCCAAUCUCAUUUACAAAUUAAAACUCCAUUUACAAAACACUAAACCCCUUAAAACCCAAACCCAUUCACACUUUUACAAACCCAAAUACUAUUAACCCAAUACCCUAAACUAACCUGCCCUAAUCCAAAAACCCCUAACCCAAUAAGCCCAUUAAACAAAACAAGCCCAAACCAAUACCAAAUCCCUAGCCCAAGACCAGAAUCGGGAAACCCUAGCAGCUCCCCAAGCCUCCAGCCGCUGCACGCUAGGCCAACCAUGGGCCACCUUGCGCACUACCACCACCACACCCCGCGCAUGCCCUUCUCCUCCAUGCGUCUGACACCGCCUGCAAAAUGAGACACAACAACAGCAGCAACAGAGCAGUAGCGAAUGGAAGAAACAAUAUUUUUUGUACUCUGCUUUGAAACAUUCGGCUAUAAAGCCUAAAGGGAAAAUUUGUAAAGGAAGGAAGGGGGGCAUAUUUUUACGAACGAAUACACAAUAGGCAAUACAAAAAAAGCAAUAUUGGAAGGUGAUUUCUCCGAUCGAAAUCUCUGGGCUUUCUCUUUGUGAUUAUUUUUUUUUAUUUCGAGAGUAAAUAAAAGAAAAGGGGAACACGAACACAGACGCACACAGAAUAUACACGCACAGAAAUAUAUAAAAAAACAAUUAAGAAUUUGCAAGGGUAAUCUCAAGUUUUCUUUCGUUCUUUCUUUUUUUUUUCUUUUUUGUUUGGUUUAGAUCGUCUUUUAGUAGGUAAAUCGACUCCAAUGAGAUCCCGAAUACUUUAAGAUACAAAAGUAGGGGAGAGGGGUCAAGUGGUGUUGAAUCUCUAUUUUAUGAACUUUCUUCGUUUUUUUUAAAAAUGUAUGAGAUUUGAAGUUUUAUUUUUUCUCAAGUAAAAAAGAAAAUACUUACUAAUUUCCUCAAGGCAUGGUCGAAUACUUAC